UACAGAGGGUGCAAGCGUUGUUCGGAAUUACUGGGCGUAAAGGGCGCGUAGGCGGUUUAGCAAGUCAGAUGUGAAAGCCCGGGGCUUAACUCCGGAAGUGCAUUUGAAACUGCUAGGCUAGAGUGUAGUAGAGGAUGGCGGAAUUCCCAGUGGAGAGGUGAAAUUCGUAGAUAUUGGGAGGAACACCGGUGGCGAAGGCGGCCAUCUGGGCUACAACUGACGCUGAGGCGCGAGAGCGUGGGGAGCAAACAGG
Molecule: ribosomal RNA, 253 nt
Filed under: uncultured bacterium
Lineage: Bacteria
Description: partial 16S ribosomal RNA
Rfam family: Bacterial small subunit ribosomal RNA
Source: RNAcentral